This 303-nucleotide ribosomal RNA is filed under the name uncultured bacterium. RNAcentral's name for it is "partial 16S ribosomal RNA". The stretch from base 205 to 303 matches the Rfam family "Bacterial small subunit ribosomal RNA", at positions 1 to 99 of the family's 1533-position model. The record is from RNAcentral.
CAAAGCAGGGAAAGCGGGGGAGGGGUUGACAGGGAUGAUUCGGAAGUGUAGGAUCAAACGGUUGACUCUUUCGGGGAGAAAAAAGCCCUGAAGAGAAAGACGCCCUGUGGAAACGCAGGGAGAGCGUCUCGGAUCAUUGACAACUAAAUAGGAGCAGCAACGUCCAAUUAAAGGGCCCUGAUCACGAAACACAGUAAUAAAAUGAAUCUGGAGAGUUUGAUCCUGGCUCAGAACGAACGCUGGCGGCGUGCCUAACACAUGCAAGUCCAACGUGAAAGGGGAGCAAUCCCCCGGUAGGGUGGC